RNAcentral lists this unclassified non-coding RNA (341 nucleotides) under soil metagenome. Its description in RNAcentral is "partial contains 5.8S ribosomal RNA, internal transcribed spacer 2, and large subunit ribosomal RNA". The stretch from base 1 to 120 matches the Rfam family "5.8S ribosomal RNA", at positions 35 to 154 of the family's 154-position model. The record is from RNAcentral.
GAUGAAGAACGUAGCGAAAUGCGAUAAGUAGUGUGAAUUGCAGAAUUCAGUGAAUCAUCGAAUCUUUGAACGCACAUUGCGCCCUUUGGUAUUCCAAAGGGCAUGCCUGUUCGAGCGUCAUUUGUACCCUCAAGCUUUGCUUGGUGUUGGGCGUCUUGUCUCUAGCUUUGCUGGAGACUCGCCUUAAAGUAAUUGGCAGCCGGCCUACUGGUUUCGGAGCGCAGCACAGGUCGCACUCUCUAUCAGCAAAGGUCUAGCAUCCAUUAAGCCUUUUUUUCAACUUUUGACCUCGGAUCAGGUAGGGAUACCCGCUGAACUUAAGCAUAUCAAUAAGCGGAGGA